This is a non-coding RNA of Peromyscus maniculatus bairdii (prairie deer mouse), 1043 nucleotides long. The record is from RefSeq and is a predicted model, not a curated record. Lineage: Eukaryota; Metazoa; Chordata; Mammalia; Rodentia; Cricetidae.
CCCCCGCCGGGCCUCGCUCGCUCGUUCGGGCCGCUCGGCUCCUGACUUCGCCCCGUUCGCUCGCAGGUUCGAUCGUUCGCUCGCUCGCGGCCGAGCCCUCAGCAAGCGCCUCGGGCGGGGAGGCGAAGCUCCAGGGGGCGGGGUGACGGCUCCUCCUCGGCCGCCAUUGGGCAGCCAGCCCACGCCCGCACGCUGAAUGGUGGUGGCUGACAGCUCCGCCCCUCCCCUCAUCAACACCGCGCGGCCCCGCCCUCCGCGACCUGGGGCGGGCACAGGCUCACGACCUCUUUCCUUCAUUGGUCCAACUAUGAGGACGCUUCGGCACCCACUCACGUGCCCGGUGACCGGCUCGACUCUCAGUGGGUGCUGAGCACGCCCGUCUAAAGGGACGCAGCCAAUCGACAGUGGUCAGGUCUGGGAUACCCCGGAGCUCAGGCAGAUUGACAUGCUCGUUCUCAGGGACCCCGCUGCGAGCAGCACGGAUUGGUGUUUGGUACCGGCCUCUGGGCGCUGAUUGGUUGGGACUGAACGUCAAUCACUGUCUUGGCUGCUCCGGACUCCGCCCUGUUAUCAGGCGGCUGUUGAGUACGUGAUACCCUGCACAACAUCGGCACCGGGUCCGAGGCGCCGGGAGACAGUAGUUCGAGACCCGGUGGAUCAAGACCCGGAGUCGGGAUUUGACCACAGCUUUGCAAGGGGCCAAACUGGGAUACAGAGGGUCCCCAAAGCGCCGUUCCCUUUAACCGCCAAAAGCAGUUUGAAAACAAGCAAACACAAACAUCCAAAUAUCUGCAGAAAACAAAUUUAUUCUGAGAUCUAAAAUCUGAACAAAAAAUAUUGAACUUUAGAAAAUAUCCACAUGGACACAUGGAAUUUCAUUUUCUUCCCCAAUAUGUUAACAAUCUAAAAAAAAAAACAAAACCACAAAACGUGACCCUUAAAACAGUGCUGUCCAGUCUGCCUGCGGUUACGUGUUCAUUUUCCAUGUUCUACUGAGGUACGGCCUGCUCACUUUGGUAAAGUUACAAGUAACAAAAGAAAAC